RNAcentral lists this ribosomal RNA (253 nucleotides) under uncultured bacterium. Its description in RNAcentral is "partial 16S ribosomal RNA". It matches the Rfam family "Bacterial small subunit ribosomal RNA", at positions 524 to 776 of the family's 1533-position model. The record is from RNAcentral.
UACGGAGGGUGCAAGCGUUAUCCGGAUUCACUGGGUUUAAAGGGUGCGUAGGAGGGCAGGUAAGUCAGGGGUGAAAUCCCGCGGCCCAACCGUGGAACUGCCUUUGAUACUGGCGAACUUGAGUGCGUGAGGGGUAGGGGGAACGAGCAGUGUAGCGGUGAAAUGCGUAGAUAUUGCUCGGAAGGCCAGAGCCGAAGGGGCCCUACUGGUGCGCAACUGACACUGAGGCACGAAAGCGUGGGGAGCAAACAGG